Long non-coding RNA from Artibeus jamaicensis (Jamaican fruit-eating bat), 1007 nucleotides. RefSeq lists it as uncharacterized. The transcript has 3 exons. The record is from RefSeq and is a predicted model, not a curated record. Lineage: Eukaryota; Metazoa; Chordata; Mammalia; Chiroptera; Phyllostomidae.
AGGUGCCUACUUUGAAGGGGACUGAGGUGUCAUUGUCCUAUGUACAAUGUUUCUUAUAUCUUAUAUCUUCUUCAAUAAAUGCCUCUAUUUUUUAUGUGAUAUUGCUGGAUACCUUCUGGACAGAUGUCGCAUAUGGCAACCUUGUAUUCCUGAGAGAACCAGAGACCCCAUCUGCAGGAGAGCGGGACAAGAUGGAGAGAAAGAGGGACAGAGACUAGAAGAUAAAAUGCCGGAAUAGAACGAUAUGGAUAUGUUUUUCUUUGGCAGAGGUGAUUCUGAUUUCCUCCUACAAUGCAUGGACAAUUUCACACUUUCAUCAAACGUGAAGAUAUUCACUUCAUCAAAUGCUUAUUAAUAAUGAACAUAUUAAUAUUUUUCUUUUAUGAUGAUUGAAAAAUGAUAUAUGCCACAAAUUCUUUUUUAUGUUAACUCUUGUUUUACAAUACUUAUAACAAAGAAGCGAUAAACCAAAACAUUAUUUUAGACUUCUGUAAUCUAACUAUGAGGUAUGCAAUGGUCUAUGUGGAAAAGCAUUUUCUUCUGGGGGAUGCAGGAUUACAUGAUGGUGUUGGACUGAGGACUCCACACUGACCAGGUUGUUUCUACAUUUUGCCUCCUUCAAAUGACACCAUGAUAACAAACAGCACAUGGACAGUACCAGUGAAUACACGUCACUUGGCCAACACCAGAAACUCAGACUGAGAAAGCUGAUGCACCGGUCUCCAGCAGCAGGUUCCCAUCACUUCAAUUGUCCCCUGAAAUCUACAACACCAAGAAGUAACUUCCGGAAGAGAAGGGCAUGGGGGACAGGGUGGAAAAGGUGAAGGGAUUGAAAUGUACAGAUUGGUACUUGCAAAAUGGUCAUGGGGAUAUAAAGUACAGCAUACUACAGAAUAUAGUCAGUAAUGUUGUAAUAACUAUGUAUGGUGCCAGGCAGUUACAUGCAAAUAUCAGGGAGAACACUUUGUAAAGUAUGUGAUUGUCUAACCAGUAUGCUGUACACCUGA